GAUGAACGCUGGCGGCGUGCCUAAUACAUGCAAGUCGAGCGAACAGACGAGGAGCUUGCUCCUCUGACGUUAGCGGCGGACGGGUGAGUAACACGUGGAUAACCUACCUAUAAGACUGGGAUAACUUCGGGAAACCGGAGCUAAUACCGGAUAACAUGUUGAACCGCAUGGUUCAACAGUGAAAGACGUUCUUGCUGUCACUUAUAGAUGGAUCCGCGCCGCAUUAGCUAGUUGGUAAGGUAACGGCUUACCAAGGCAACGAUGCGUAGCCGACCUGAGAGGGUGAUCGGCCACACUGGAACUGAGACACGGUCCAGACUCCUACGGGAGGCAGCAGUAGGGAAUCUUCCGCAAUGGGCGAAAGCCUGACGGAGCAACGCCGCGUGAGUGAAGAAGGUCUUCGGAUCGUAAAACUCUGUUAUUAGGGAAGAACAAAUGUGUAAGUAACUAUGCACGUCUUGACGGUACCUAAUCAGAAAGCCACGGCUAACUACGUG
This 497-nucleotide ribosomal RNA is filed under the name uncultured bacterium. RNAcentral's name for it is "partial 16S ribosomal RNA". It matches the Rfam family "Bacterial small subunit ribosomal RNA", at positions 28 to 507 of the family's 1533-position model. The record is from RNAcentral.